RNAcentral lists this long non-coding RNA (229 nucleotides) under Mytilus galloprovincialis (Mediterranean mussel). The record is from RNAcentral. Lineage: Eukaryota; Metazoa; Mollusca; Bivalvia; Mytilida; Mytilidae.
UGCACAUUAAAUCAUUCUUAUACGGUUAAAAACAAUGAGAAACAUCUAUUUUUAAUCUAUAAAAUAAAAUCAAACAGACCUAUAAAAAUCCAAUUGCACGUUUAAUCUAUUAUAAUUCAUAUCUUUAUUUAUGUUUACAUCGCUUAUAUGGUCAUCUGAGGUCAAUCGAUAGUUAAUUAGAUGGCCUCUGGACUAAAAUACACACGAAACGAACCUAUAUAUUAUCUAC